UCUCCGUUGGUGAACCAGCGGAGGGAUCAUUACCGAGUUUUCAACUCCCAAACCCCCUGUGAACAUACCUUUAUCGUUGCUUCGGCGGGACGCCCCGGCGCCUUCGGGCCCGGACCCAGGCGCCCGCCGGGGACCCCAAACUCUUGUUUUAUAUAUAAUGGAUCUUCUGAGUACCACAAGUUUAAUAAUUAAAACUUUCAACAACGGAUCUCUUGGUUCUGGCAUCGAUGAAGAACGCAGCGAAAUGCGAUAAGUAAUGUGAAUUGCAGAAUUCAGUGAAUCAUCGAAUCUUUGAACGCACAUUGCGCCCGCUAGUAUUCUAGCGGGCAUGCCUGUUCGAGCGUCAUUUCAACCCUCAAGCCCCCCCGGGGGCUUGGUGUUGGGGAUCGGCCGCGGCUUCCGUGCCCGGCCGGCCCCGAAAUCUAGUGGCGGUCUCGCUGUAGUCCUCCUCUGCGUAGUAACACACCUCGCACCGGAACUUGGCCUGGCCACGCCGUAAAACACCCCCCCAUUUCUGAAUGUUGACCUCGGAUCAGGUAGGAAUACCCGCUGAACUUAA
This 559-nucleotide ribosomal RNA is filed under the name Nectria novae-zealandiae. RNAcentral's name for it is "eukaryotic LSU rRNA". The stretch from base 193 to 346 matches the Rfam family "5.8S ribosomal RNA". Lineage: Eukaryota; Fungi; Ascomycota; Sordariomycetes; Hypocreales; Nectriaceae. The record is from RNAcentral.